CCUACGGGAGGCUGCAGUGGGGAAUUUUGGACAAUGGGGGCAACCCUGAUCCAGCCAUGCCGCGUGAGUGAAGAAGGCCUUCGGGUUGUAAAGCUCUUUCGGACGGAACGAAACGGUUAGCGUGAAUAUCGCUGACUAAUGACGGUACCGUAAUAAGAAGCACCGGCUAACUACGUGCCAGCAGCCGCGGUAAUACGUAGGGUGCGAGCGUUAAUCGGAAUUACUGGGCGUAAAGCGUGCGCAGGCGGUUCGCCAAGUCAGGUGUGAAAUCCCCGGGCUUAACCUGGGAAUUGCGCUUGAAACUAGCGGGCUUGAGUGUGGCAGAGGGGGGUGGAAUUCCACGUGUAGCAGUGAAAUGCGUAGAGAUGUGGAGGAACACCGAUGGCGAAGGCAGCCCCCUGGGUCAACACUGACGCUCAUGCACGAAAGCGUGGGGAGCAAACAGGAUUAGAUACCCUAGUAGUC
Molecule: unclassified non-coding RNA, 465 nt
Filed under: uncultured fungus
Lineage: Eukaryota; Fungi
Description: partial internal transcribed spacer 1
Rfam family: Bacterial small subunit ribosomal RNA
Source: RNAcentral